Phascolarctos cinereus (koala) is the source of this 108-nucleotide small nuclear RNA. NCBI's taxonomy places the organism in Eukaryota, Metazoa, Chordata, Mammalia, Diprotodontia, Phascolarctidae. The record is from Ensembl.
GUGCUUGCUUUGGCAGCACAAAUACUGAAAUUGGAAUGAUACAGAGAAGAUUAACAUGGCUCCUUGCACAAGGAUGACAUGCAAAUUCAUGAAAUAUUCCAUAUUAAA